Molecule: non-coding RNA, 667 nt
Organism: Marmota monax (woodchuck)
Lineage: Eukaryota; Metazoa; Chordata; Mammalia; Rodentia; Sciuridae
Source: the annotation of a RefSeq genome assembly
GCAGGCACUCCUGGCAAGAUGAGGUCCCUAUCUCAGAUCCUGUGCUUUCUGCUGCUCUUCAUCUCAGGUGUGAAAAUGGGCACUGCCCUCACCCAGUCCCCAGCUCUCCUGGCUGUGUAUCCUGGGGAAAGAGCCACCAUCACCUGCACAAGCAACCCCAAGGAGAACUCCAAGUUUUCUUGGUACCAGCAGAAACCAGGCCAGGCCCCUAAACUCCUGGUGCAUGGCACAUCCACCCUGGCUUCAGGAGUCCCAGCAUGGUUCAGUGGCAGUCAUUUGGGAGCAAAUUUUACCCUCACCAUCAGCAACAUGGAGACAAAUGAUGCUGGCACUUAUUACUGUGUUGAGUGGCCAGGAGAUCACAGUGACACAUCCCUGAACAAAAACCCUCACAGCUGCGGAGAGAAGUGGCACCUCAUGAUGCAUGAAGCCCAGGGUCUUGAGUGUGACUGCCGCUCCUCUGAGGCACUGUGUUUGUCCUGUCACCUGCAGAAACACCUCCCAAUGGUACCCAAUGAUACAGCACUGCUCUUCCAGAAGAAAGGUGGUGGAGCUUGGUGACAUCCCUGGAGGAUUCCAGGGGGAAGGUCAGACAUGGAGCAUGUGCUUUGACUGAGCAGGUGCCCUUCCAUAGCAUGUCUGCAUGGAGCCAUGAGAACACAUCAGA